RNAcentral lists this unclassified non-coding RNA (330 nucleotides) under soil metagenome. Its description in RNAcentral is "partial contains 5.8S ribosomal RNA, internal transcribed spacer 2, and large subunit ribosomal RNA". The stretch from base 1 to 120 matches the Rfam family "5.8S ribosomal RNA", at positions 35 to 154 of the family's 154-position model. The record is from RNAcentral.
GAUGAAGAACGCAGCGAAAUGCGAUAAGUAAUGUGAAUUGCAGAAUUCAGUGAAUCAUCGAAUCUUUGGACGCCCAUUGCGCCCUCUGGUAUUCCGGGGGGCAUGCCUGUUCGAGCGUCAUUACAACCCUCAAGCUUUGCUUGGUAUUGGACAUUGCCAGUUUCUGGCAGGUCUUAAAAUCAGUGGCGGUGCCAUUUGGCUUCAAGCGUAGUAAUUCUUCUAGCUUUGGAGAUCCAGGUGGUUACUUACCAAUAACCCCCAAUUUUUUCAGGUUGACCUCGGAUCAGGUAGGGAUACCCGCUGAACUUAAGCAUAUCAAUAAGCGGAGGA